AGAGGGUGCGAGCGUUAAUCGGAAUUACUGGGCGUAAAGAGCACGUAGGUGGAUAGUUAAGUCGGGUGUGAAAUCCCCAGGCUCAACCUGGGAAUUGCAUUCGAUACUGGCUGUCUAGAGUAUGGUAGAGGGUAGUGGAAUUCCCGGUGUAGCGGUGAAAUGCAUAGAUAUCGGGAGGAACACCAGUGGCGAAGGCGGCUACCUGGACCAAUACUGACACUGAGGUGCGAAAGCGUGGGGAGCAAACAGGAUUAGAGACCCUGGUAGUCCACGCCGUAAACGAUGAGAACUAGACGUUGGGGGGGCAUGUCCCUUUAGUGUCGCAGCUAACGCGAUAAGUUCUCCGCCUGGGGAGUACGACCGCAAGGUUA
Molecule: ribosomal RNA, 371 nt
Filed under: uncultured organism
Description: partial 16S ribosomal RNA
Rfam family: Bacterial small subunit ribosomal RNA
Source: RNAcentral